GAUGAACGCUGGCGGCGUGCCUAAUACAUGCAAGUCGAACGGAAAGGCCCUGCUCUUGCGCCUCUCACGUGUGGCGCACGGGGGUGUAUCACGCGAGGAUACCGUCCCUGUCAUUCUGAUAUAACUUCGAACAGGGGCAAAUACUAGCUAGUAAUAUCUGCUGCCUCGUGGUGCAUGGGAAGAUUCGGCGGUUGGGGAUGGAUAUGCGGCGUUUCAGCCCGCUUUUGGGGUUGUGGCUUAUCAAGGCUUAGCCGGGUAGCCGGCCUUAGCGGGGACCCGGGCACAGUGGGACUGAGAUACGGCCCAGACUCCUACGGGAGGCACAAGUGGGGAAUAUUAAACAAUGGGCGGAAGCCUGAUGCAGCAGCGCCGCGUGCGGGAUGACGGCCUUCGGGUUGAAAACCGCUUUCGCCUGGGACGAAGCGUGAGUGACGGUAAUGGAUAAAGAAGCACCGGCUAACUACGUG
RNAcentral lists this ribosomal RNA (467 nucleotides) under uncultured bacterium. RNAcentral's name for it is "partial 16S ribosomal RNA". It matches the Rfam family "Bacterial small subunit ribosomal RNA", at positions 28 to 507 of the family's 1533-position model. The record is from RNAcentral.